UACGAAGGGGGCUAGCGUUGUUCGGAUUUACUGGGCGUAAAGCGCACGUAGGCGGAUCGUUAAGUCAGGGGUGAAAGUCCUGGAGCUCAACUCCAGAACUGCCUUUGAUACUGGCGAUCUUGAGUCCGGAAGAGGUGAGUGGAACUCCUAGUGUAGAGGUGGAAUUCGUAGAUAUUGGGAAGAACACCGGUGGCGAAGGCGGCUCACUGGCUCAUUACUGACGCUCAGGCGCGACAGCGUGGGGAGUCAAACAGG
Molecule: ribosomal RNA, 255 nt
Filed under: uncultured bacterium
Lineage: Bacteria
Description: partial 16S ribosomal RNA
Rfam family: Bacterial small subunit ribosomal RNA
Source: RNAcentral